Molecule: ribosomal RNA, 453 nt
Filed under: uncultured bacterium
Lineage: Bacteria
Description: bacterial SSU rRNA
Rfam family: Bacterial small subunit ribosomal RNA
Source: RNAcentral
GCAGAGCACUCCUACGGGAGGCAGCAGUGGGGAAUAUUGCACAAUGGGCGGAAGCCUGAUGCAGCGACGCCGCGUGAGGGAUGAAGGCCUUCGGGUUGUAAACCUCUUUCAGCAGGGACGAAGCGUGAGUGACGGUACCUGCAGAAGAAGCACCGGCUAACUACGUGCCAGCAGCCGCGGUAAUACGUAGGGUGCGAGCGUUGUCCGGAAUUACUGGGCGUAAAGAGUUCGUAGGCGGUUUGUCGCGUCGUUUGUGAAAACCCGGGGCUCAACUUCGGGCUUGCAGGCGAUACGGGCAGACUUGAGUGUUUCAGGGGAGACUGGAAUUCCUGGUGUAGCGGUGAAAUGCGCAGAUAUCAGGAGGAACACCGGUGGCGAAGGCGGGUCUCUGGGAAACAACUGACGCUGAGGAACGAAAGCGUGGGUAGCAAACAGGAUUAGAUACCCUGGUAG